GUACCCGUAGCUCAGCUGGAUAGAGCGUGAGAUUCCGGAUCUCAAAGCCAAAGGUUCAAUUCCUUUCGGGUACACCA
Molecule: transfer RNA, 77 nt
Filed under: Clostridiales bacterium
Lineage: Bacteria; Bacillati; Bacillota; Clostridia; Eubacteriales
Description: tRNA-Arg
Rfam family: tRNA
About the family: Transfer RNA (tRNA) molecules are approximately 80 nucleotides in length. Their secondary structure includes four short double-helical elements and three loops (D, anti-codon, and T loops). Further hydrogen bonds mediate the characteristic L-shaped molecular structure. tRNAs have two regions of fundamental functional importance: the anti-codon, which is responsible for specific mRNA codon recognition, and the 3' end, to which the tRNAs corresponding amino acid is attached (by aminoacyl-tRNA synthetases). tRNAs cope with the degeneracy of the genetic code in two manners: having more than one tRNA (with a specific anti-codon) for a particular amino acid; and 'wobble' base-pairing, i.e. permitting non-standard base-pairing at the 3rd anti-codon position.
Source: RNAcentral